Molecule: ribosomal RNA, 253 nt
Filed under: uncultured bacterium
Lineage: Bacteria
Description: partial 16S ribosomal RNA
Rfam family: Bacterial small subunit ribosomal RNA
Source: RNAcentral
UACGUAGGGUGCUAGCGUUGUCCGGAUUUAUUGGGCGUAAAGAGCGUGUAGGCGGCCUGGUAGGUCUGCUGUGAAAACUCGAGGCUCAACCUCGAGAUGUCGGCGGAAACCAUCUGGCUAGAGUCCGGAAGAGGAGAGUGGAAUUCCCGGUGUAGCGGUGAAAUGCGCAGAUAUCGGGAAGAACACCCGUGGCGAAGGCGGCUCUCUGGGACGGUACUGACGCUGAGACGCGAAAGCGUGGGGAGCGAACAGG